This 253-nucleotide ribosomal RNA is filed under the name uncultured bacterium. RNAcentral describes it as "partial 16S ribosomal RNA". It matches the Rfam family "Bacterial small subunit ribosomal RNA", at positions 524 to 776 of the family's 1533-position model. The record is from RNAcentral.
GACGUAGGGCGCGAGCGUUGUCCGGAUUUAUUGGGCGUAAAGAGCUCGUAGGCGGCUCAUUGCGUCAACCGUGAAAUCCUGCUGCUCAACGGCAGGUCUGCGGUUGAUACGGGUGGGCUGGAGUUCGGUAGGGGAGACUGGAAUUCCUGGUGUAGCGGUGAAAUGCGCAGAUAUCGGGAGGAACACCAAUGGCGAAGGCAGCUCGCUGGGACGUUACUGACGCUGAGACGCGAAAGCGUGGGGAGCAAACAGG